GUGGUUAUAGCCCAGUGGUAGAGUGCAUGCCUAGCAUGUGUGAGGCACUGGGUUCAAUUCUCAGACCACA
Molecule: transfer RNA, 70 nt
Filed under: Urocitellus parryii (Arctic ground squirrel)
Lineage: Eukaryota; Metazoa; Chordata; Mammalia; Rodentia; Sciuridae
Also listed under: 1 other name
Description: Spermophilus parryii (Arctic ground squirrel) tRNA
Rfam family: tRNA
About the family: Transfer RNA (tRNA) molecules are approximately 80 nucleotides in length. Their secondary structure includes four short double-helical elements and three loops (D, anti-codon, and T loops). Further hydrogen bonds mediate the characteristic L-shaped molecular structure. tRNAs have two regions of fundamental functional importance: the anti-codon, which is responsible for specific mRNA codon recognition, and the 3' end, to which the tRNAs corresponding amino acid is attached (by aminoacyl-tRNA synthetases). tRNAs cope with the degeneracy of the genetic code in two manners: having more than one tRNA (with a specific anti-codon) for a particular amino acid; and 'wobble' base-pairing, i.e. permitting non-standard base-pairing at the 3rd anti-codon position.
Source: Rfam by way of RNAcentral